Synchiropus splendidus (mandarinfish) is the source of this 1184-nucleotide long non-coding RNA. RefSeq lists it as uncharacterized. NCBI's taxonomy places the organism in Eukaryota, Metazoa, Chordata, Actinopteri, Syngnathiformes, Callionymidae. The record is from RefSeq and is a predicted model, not a curated record. The transcript has 3 exons.
CGCCUGUGUGGUAUAUUAGGUUGCAAGAUUAACAAUCGGUUACUGUAACAGGUCAAAUCACAGAGACUCAACUCUUCAUUCAUCUCUUCUCUCUUCAUUUCAAUGUAAAUGCCGGCCUGCAGCACACGUAACCAAAAUAGAAUCAGGUCCUGCCAUCAUACACCCAAACAGUGUCAAUGCCCUCCCCGACGGUCUGUUCAGGGACCCAGGUGGGAAAGGGAAAUCUGCAGGCCACCACCUUGGCACUGCUGGGCAAUUCAUCAGUCAGCUUCACUUCCAGCUGCUCCAUCUGCACAAACAACCAUUUGACAUCCAUGUUCAUUCAGAUUGGCAAAAAAGUGCUUGAUGACACAAGUAACUUACCAUUUGAGGAACUCCAAAGAUGACAACAUUGGAAUAUUGUGAAAAACUGACCUGGAAAGGAACAAGGAAAGCAUGUUUAGCUUCUUCAACCACGUGUUUUCUAUUAUGGGCCCAACGACUGUGCCUGUGUGGUAUAUUAGGUUGCAAGAUUAACAAUUGGUUACUGUAACAAUACAAUGUACUGUACAAUUUUAUCAUCAUGGACUCGGUAACGGUUGCUUCUUUUCACUGUAAAUGCCGGCCUGCAGCACACAAAAUUGAAUCAGGUAAAGGUCAACGAGUUGGCUCUCAUGCUGUGUUUAGAUAAAUUUAUUUUUUCUCCUCAUAGAAGCGAACACGAGUGACAAUACUCAGCGCAUGACUUGGUAAAGCUGCAACAUAUGAUUAUGUAUGUUUGGAUUUUAGACCAUUUUAUUUAAGUGCAGCAGCAGCAGAUUUGCUCUGACAGGUUUGCAGCUACCAUAGUUUAGAUGUAAAACACAACAAUGCUUGGGCAUCGUCCUAAAAGUGCUGCUGGUGCAUUGAGAAGUCAGUACCACCCCACUGACCUUCCACAAAUCGGAUAUAUGAAAGGCGGUGGAUUGGUGGACCCCUUCUCUCCAGGCUCUAUAACGGGAAUACCACACCAGCCAGGGGUUCAGCUCAAAGCCAGAUGCCUGAAAGCCACGUCUGGCUGCGGCAAUAACCUACAGGAUAACAGGAAAAACAAAGAAGUGAAAAGUGAAAAACAAAACUUACAACACUAGGAGUGAUGGUGACAUUUUAGGAUACUCAGCCAUCCUGAUGCGCAGGAGGCAAUGCACAACUUUCCACAAAAAUUC